Molecule: ribosomal RNA, 253 nt
Filed under: uncultured Gemmata sp.
Lineage: Bacteria; Pseudomonadati; Planctomycetota; Planctomycetia; Gemmatales; Gemmataceae
Description: partial 16S ribosomal RNA
Rfam family: Bacterial small subunit ribosomal RNA
Source: RNAcentral
GACGAACCGUCCUAACGUUGUUCGGAUUCACUGGGCUUAAAGGGCGCGUAGGCGGGUGGGCUCGCCCGGGGUGAAAUCUUUCGGCUUAACCGGAAGACGGCCUCGGGGACGGCCUGUCUGGAGGGAGGUAGGGGUCUGUGGAACUUCCGGUGGAGCGGUGAAAUGCGUUGAUAUCGGAAGGAACGCCGGCGGCGAAAGCGACAGACUGGACCUCUUCUGACGCUGAGGCGCGAAAGCCAGGGUAGCGAACGGG